This 466-nucleotide ribosomal RNA is filed under the name uncultured bacterium. RNAcentral describes it as "bacterial SSU rRNA". It matches the Rfam family "Bacterial small subunit ribosomal RNA", at positions 331 to 793 of the family's 1533-position model. The record is from RNAcentral.
CCAGACUCCUACGGGAGGCAGCAGUGAGGAAUAUUGGUCAAUGGCCGGAAGGCUGAACCAGCCAAGCCGCGUGAGGGAGGAAGGCGCAGAGCGUCGCAGACCUCUUUUGUCGGGGGACAAAAGGCCGGACUCGUCCGGUCCUGAGGGUACCCGGAGAAAAAGCAUCGGCUAACUCCGUGCCAGCAGCCGCGGUAAUACGGAGGAUGCGAGCGUUAUCCGGAUUCAUUGGGUUUAAAGGGUGCGCAGGCGGGAGAUCAAGUCAGCGGUAAAAUGUCGGGGCUCAACCCCGGCCGGCCGCUGAAACUGGUUUUCUAGAGUUGGAGAGAAGUAUGCGGAAUUCGUGGUGUAGCGGUGAAAUGCAUAGAUAUCACGAAGAACUCCGAUUGCGAAGGCAGCAUACCGGCUCCAUACUGACGCUGAGGCACGAAAGCGUGGGGAUCGAACAGGAUUAGAUACCCCUGUAACG